CUGGGAAAUAAUUAGCCCUGUCUUUCAUUCCUUUCUCUACCAUACUUCCACUAACCAAAUCUUCUAUCUCUAUUACCCUAAGGAAUCAAUCAUAUUCUUUUUUCUAAUUUUCCAUUCUCUUUAGUACUUAACCAAGUAGAAUGUCCCCUGACUCCUAAUGUGUUUGUCUUUGAACCUUAAAACUGUACGGGAGCCCCCCAAAACCCUCUCUAAGCUUUCAUCCUUUAAUCAAGUACUUUUUCUUUUCAUUUUCUGAGUUUACACUGGGAUUUAUGGAGUAUUCUGUCAUGCACUGACACGAAAAGAAACAAAGAAAUCUGGUUUCUGCCUUCAAGGGUCUUCUGUCUCUCAUUGUCUUAGUUCAGGCUGCUAUAACAGAGUGCCAUAGACUGGGUGGCUUAAAUAACAAACUUUUUUUUCUCAUAGUUCUGGAGGUUGGAAGUUCAACACUAGGGUUCCAGUAUGGUUGGGUUCUUUUUGAAGUCCUUUUUUCUGGUUUUUACAGAUGGCUGUCUUCUUGUAUCCUUACAUCGUGGGGCGGGGGGCGGGGGGGGGGGGGUGUGGCAGCGGGGAGGGAGAAAGAAAGAGAAGAGGAAGCUCUCUAGUGUUUCUUCUUAUAAGGCACUGAUAUCAUUCAGGAGAGCUCAAUCCUCACAUCCUAAUCACCUCGCAGCGGCCCCACCUCCUAACGCCAUCAUAUUGAGGUGUGAGAUUUUAACACACAAAUUUUGUGGAGACACAUUCAGUCCACAGCACGUGAAUACACUUGCUGCCUACUAACUCCUUUGUUCUUACCCAGCCCCUACCUCAGUCUUUACUUGGCUUUUCUUGUUGAAUCAUUCAUUUCCCACAAAACAAUCUGCAACUGAUCUGGUGUUGACUUUGCACCCUGUUGUGUUUCUACCCAAAGAAUCCUUUUCCCAUCACACACAAUCACCUGAUUUACACAUUUGCCCAAUUAUUCAUUUAUCAAAAAUCAAGACCCUGGGCCUACCCUGUGCCAACACUGCUCUGGACACCGAGUCCAUGGUGGCAAACUGCAUGGCCUCUGCUGUCACAGAGCUUACUGCAUUGGUGGAGACAGGUGGCCAACAAACAAAGGUAUACUUAUAAUUACAUAUUACACAAAGUGCUUUAAAAAAAAAAAAAAAGCAAGCUGCCAUAUGAGAGAAUAACAAAGAAGGUGAAAUUCAGUUUGGAGCCAGUGUAGGACACGACACCAAUUCUAGAACUUAAAACAGGAGCAGGGCUAUCCAGGCAAAGGAGGGAGAGGAGUCUUUUUGGCAGAGCCCCACCUAUGGGAAGCCCAGAGAUAGAAAAGAAGUUGGAGUGUUUUAAGGAUUGAAAGAAAGGCAAUGUGACAGAGACACCAAGAGAAUAGCAAUAAGAGAUGAAGAUAGGGACUGGAAGGGGAGGGGAGGUGAUGGCAGAAUAUCCAAAGCUUUCUGAAAAGGAAACCUACAGAAGGGUUUUAACAUGGGAGGGACAUGUUCUGACUUAUGUUUUAAAGUUCAUUUUGCUGUGGGAAGAAAGAAUUAGAGGCUGAUAAGAAUGGAAGCAGAAGGAGACUAAUUAGAAAACUACUGUUACAUUCCCAAGGAAUAAAGGUAGCUUGGACCAGGGUGAAGAUGUGUGAUGGAGAAGAUCAAAAAGUCUCUCUAGAGCUGGGCUCAGCUCAAGGCCAAAUAAGGAGGACUUAAGAAGGGCCACGGAAAAAUUGAAUGAAUGGGGAAAAAAGCAAAGCUGAAUUGCUACUGGAGUUAAAAGGAGCUACUGUUGGUGGAAAGAAGUCAGGCCUGCUGGUGUUUUACCAUAACAAAUAUCUGAAGUAAUCUCCAUACCUUCAGAUCUCCUUGUGGCUGCAAUAGCUCUGCAUAUGGAACUAGCCAUCUACCAAAUUAUUUCCUUUCUCAACAAACGUCACUCACAGCCCUAUUAUGACUGGAAGUCUUUUUAAUAAAACUGCCUGUGAAGAUUGCAAAAUAAACCUAUGGAGCAGCGUCCUCACUACUUCCAUCUGUUCUUCCACAAAUUUCUCUCCCUUUUCCACAGAGCAGGUUUGUAUUUCCAAGAAGGUGUAUCUUCAGGAGUUCUAAUAAAGAACAGCUGAAUGCAGCAAUCUUUGCCGUCAAUACAGCCAACCUUCAAGGAAUCACUUUUCACAAAUGAUCUGACGUGGAGGUACUCCUUUCUUAGAAUGUAUCUUUCUAGUCAGGGCAUUAGGUAUUUUUUAAUUCAAGUUAGAAAUCAGGACUCAUCUUACACUUUCUACUUGAGUCUUUCCUGCAGGUUGUAUCCUCUAUAUUAAGAGUAUGCGUAGCUUAUCUGUCUUUUAGGCAAAUAGCCAUCUUGUUCCCACCCAAGGUGAGAGUCCAUUUUAGUUCAGGAAAAAAUAACUUUAAAUUGAUCGAGAGGGAGAUUGUUGUAGAAGAGAGGCAGAAUUCCUUAGCUAGAGGAGAGAUUCACAAUCCUGUGAAUUGAGUAGACACAGAAGGCCUGGUCCUGGCUAAACGGAAUGCUGGGAGCUCAUGCCAGGGAGGGGUGGUGUGCAGAGGGACUGGGUUGGAAUCCAGGUGGCUGAAUUCAUGGGAGCGUGGCAAAAUCAGGUCCUGUUCCACUCAGGCUCAAUUUCUAAAACCUACAUGACUCCUAGGGGGUCUUCUCAAUGUACAGAUUCUGAUUCAACAGAUCUGGGAUGGGUCCUGAGCUUCUGCACUUUUCACAAGCUCCCAGAUGAUGUCCGUGUUGCUAGUCCACAGACCACACUUUGAAUAGCAAGGGCAUAAGGAAUCUAACUCUAGAGUUCAAAUGUAUGUGGGGUGAAGGUUUUGAGUACAAUGUAUGCUAUGUAUAUUCAUUUGGAGUCUAAAUCAUUCAUUGGUGCUCAUGGGGGAUGACGAUGUACGGGAUUUCUAGAGUCCAGACUCAGUAAAGGAGCUACAAAGACUUGGGAAAAAGGUCAAAUUCCCUAGUGGACAUGCUGGGGUCAGCUGAGAGAAACUUGAUAGAGGACAUUGGCUCCACCUACCCAGGAAUAAGAGUGGGUUAGCCAGCCCUGAGUCAGGGGAAGAGGAGCACCAGAGAACUAAGCCUCAUACAGUGGAGGGGCUGAGAGCAUGGACUCAGCUGCCAGGGAAACUGGACAGGAAUCUUGGCUCCAUAAUUCCGAGCCUCUGUUUUUUCUUCUGUAAAAACUUACAUUAUGGGCUUGUUGAAAGCACUAAAUAAGAUAGUCCAUGUGUUCUGGGUUCUGGUCCCUGAAAAACAGACUCUGAGAUGAUGAUCUUUAUGGAAGUGGUUUAUUACACAGUGCCCCCUCGCAAAAUCCACAGGGGAGAAGGGAAGUGGGACAUAGAAAGGGAAGGAAGCCAAGCAAGGGUGCAAUAGGAAGCAAAGUUCUGUGAGUGUAACUUUAGCUCAGUCAUGCAAGGAAACACUGGAGAGUAAAUCACAAAACUAGGGUUAUCCCAAACUAGAAGCAGGGUAGCUGGACUAUUUAUACCCUCACACGCAUCAGUCAUUAAGGGAUACUCCCUGAGGGAUGUAAAUUCCUAAGCUCUUGCAGCUGUCUGCAUACACAAGAAAAGCUGAAGUUCUGGAUCUUGAGGGAAGUCCUCGGACAGAGUUGGGGACUGACUGUCCUGAAAAGAAGCACAUCUGAAACUGUAUGCACGACUGGUAACCGGCAAAGGAUUGAGGGCAUGUGAGAGGUGCUCUGAGAGUAUCUGCUAAAUUAUGGAAAGAGUUUUAGCAUGAUCUGUGCCAAUCCUAACCCACUGGUAAAAUCUCCCUUUAUUAUAUACAGUGUAUACAUAAACAUUAUCUAUGAAGACAAAAAAGGACAAGAAGAGCAGGUAUCUAUCUCAUGGCACACUGGACAGUGGGACUAGAAGAAGCAGAUUAUUCUGGGGUCGACUUUGCAAAUGCAACACAUUAUUAGGGAAACUGGGAUCCAGUUACUGAGUGGCCUAAAUGACCAGAAAUCCCAAAGAUCCACCUAUUACUGUUGACAGAGAAGAAAAGUCAUGAAAGUUCCUUUCAGUCCUGUGAUUGCUGGGCACUGAUUCUGCACUGAAGAUGUGUUUCUAGAUGUGAGUGGCCAUACUUUAUUGCUUGUGGCUUAUGGAAUGGAUAACCUCCGUGGGCUCCAUUUGCUAAUCUUUAAGAAGAAAGGAAGAGGAAGAAGGAAGAAAGUCAAAAGGAUGAAAGAACAAAAGGAGCUCCCCACAGAAAGACAGACUCUUUUGCCAGCACAUUUAAGAAUCUAAAUGAGGCCAAGUGCCAAGCAGAUAAAGGGACUCUACUUGCUGCAUAGUAAAUAAAAUGGAGGCAGGAGGACGCCUGCAUCAAACAAUACUUUCUGAGGGGAUGACAACAAGAUUUCAGAGAAUUCAGAUCCUGACUUUCCUGCCUCACCAGGUACAACCCAAGUCACCAGAGCUCAUAAAAGAUGUGUGUGCUGUCGCAUCUAUGUGAAGUAUUUCCAUGACCCGAGCAUUGACUACAGGACUGUGCUGGAGGAAACUGGAUCAAGGUACCAAGAUGGGUGCCGUUGACAACACAGAGAGAAGAGAGAACCUAAACAAUGAAACAAGUCCCCUGCCCACGUGCUGUCAGACACUGGAGAAAAGAACAAAACCAAAGAAAAGCCACUGAGCAAACACAAUGGCCUUGUCUUCUACCUUUCUUGUGGCACAAUGCAGGACUGGACAGCACUGUCCUCCCCGCCCCCAUCUCCUUCCCUCCCUCUACUCUCACCCCCCUCCACCAGCCUUCCUGCUCCCAAAGCACAUUACUGACUAGCAGCUUGCCAGUCCAGAUUGUAGUUUUAAUCCACCAACUAGUAUUGCAGCUCAUAGAAUGGCUUUGGAUUUAUGAAACAGUCUGAGGGGAAAUAAAGUGCCCUAGUUUGUAGAUAAUAAAAGCUAAGAGUGGUGCAUCCAGGGAGAGAGGUGGGGUGCCAGGGGUUCUUAGGAAGGUAGUGGUACCACCCACUGCCAGAGUCUCUUUUGAAUUGGCUUUAUCCAGGAGUCCCAAAAGCCCUUUAAACUACUUCAUGGUAGCCUUUGACAGAGAACUCUUUGGCAGUGACUUGGAGAGGGUUUAUGAAGACAGUGCUCAGGCUUUGGUCAUGACACAGGCAGAUUGGGGAUGGAGUGGUACAUGUUUGAUUGCAGUGUGUGUUGAGGGGCAAGGGGGCAGGUCUUGGUACAAUGACAGCUAGCAUGAGACCUUGAACUCAACAUGGAUUUUAAAAGUGUUUGUUUAAUGCAUGAAUAAAAUAAUGCUCAUGAUAUUUUGUGGUCUUUAGUGACCAAUCAUAGUAGACGUCUUAGAAUUACCAAGCCCUAAGGAAUACUAAAACCCAGUCUAAUAAACUCAGUAAAACCAAGAGUGGACUCUAAUGUAAACUGUGGACUUUUGGAUGUACCUCUCUGGUGGGGAAUGUUGAUAAUGGAGGAGGCUAAGGCUUGUGUGGGGGUGGCGAACACAUGGAAAAUCUCUGUAUCUUUUGCUUAUUUUUCUGUGAACCUAAAACUGAUCUAAAAAAAAAGUAUAUAAAAAAUUCAUAGCCACAUAAAUUGGCAGUCAGAUCUGGUGAUUCAGCUGAACCUUUAUCUAAGUAUAUAGAAAAGAACACAUAUUUUCUGAUGUUUGAAAAAAUUGCUGUUUUACCUUGAAACUAAUAAAACAAAAUUGGCACAACUUAUUUUUUAAAUGCAGUAAAAAUACUUAGUCUGUCCUACAGCCUAUAUUCAUCUACUGUGGACAUCAUUUCCUCGCCAUGAAAUUUCCGUGGAAUCUAUAGGAGGCAAACCUGGGAUUAAAGCCUGAAUUUGCCAUUUAAUAAUGAGAAAACCUUGGAAAAGUCUGUCUAUCUGGAUGACUGUCAGUCCAGCAGAGACAUAGAAAUGUGCCAUAAAUAACCGAAUGCAUCACAAAAACAGAACAGGAGCUAUGAGUGUUACUGAAGGCUUGAUUUGAGUUCUCACCUGAGAAACGGACACCCCCUAGCCCACUCCCACAGUUCACACUGGUUCUUCUACCUACAAGCCGAGUCUUCACUUUCUUAAAAGGGGACGUGGACAUGAAUUGACUAGGCCACACAUUUAUCAAUUUGAAGCCAUUACUUUGCUUCACAGAUGUAGAAGCCCCAUUUCUCGACAAAGAAGAGGAAAGAAAGAGGAAAAAUGAAGGAAUAAAUGAUAGAAGUAAAGAAGAAUGUAAAUAAACUUUCUGGUCUACACAGAAUAAAAGGAUCCAGUCUAGCCAACUAGACAAAAGUUAGUUUCUCAAUAUUAACAUGCCUGUUGCCUCUCUUCUGUUUCCAGCCCUGGAAUAAUAAGUUUCACUUUUUCAUUUCUUCACCCAAAAUAAAACUUGAACUUCUCACUUCCUCAUCUUUUCAUUUGCAGAUCUCAAAAGCAGCCUCUUCCACAUCUACCCUUGGGGCAUGUCUGGCCCACUCCCCUACGGCCUUGAAUGUCACAAGAAGUUCUUAAAUGUGUUCAGUUGCAAAUAUAUUU
Molecule: long non-coding RNA, 6527 nt
Organism: Pan troglodytes (chimpanzee)
Lineage: Eukaryota; Metazoa; Chordata; Mammalia; Primates; Hominidae
Exons: 6
Source: RefSeq, a predicted model, not a curated record